Long non-coding RNA from Helicoverpa zea (corn earworm), 965 nucleotides. RefSeq lists it as uncharacterized. The record is from RefSeq and is a predicted model, not a curated record. The transcript is spliced from 2 exons. Lineage: Eukaryota; Metazoa; Arthropoda; Insecta; Lepidoptera; Noctuidae.
CUUUCAAGCGAAAAGAGGGUUUUCCCCCUCGAAAUUGUACAAAAUAAAUACUGUAAACGACAAAACACAUGAAUUUAUAAUGAUGGGCAUUAUCCUCUUUCGACGUUUGGAGUGUUUUAUGUAUUUGUAUCAGAUCCUUUGUUCCUUUGUAACGAGAUAAAUGUACGUUAUAUACAGUUUUAUAAAAGGGGAGUAGGAUCUCAGGAUGCGAUAGACUGUGAAACGUGAUAUUUUUGUAUGCCUCGAAAGUAAGCUGCAUUUAUUGGACGCCCAGUUGCCUAAUUGUAUUUCAUCAUGGCACACAUCUCAAUAAAAGGGGCUCGUAAGUUCUGCGUGCUGUGCUGAUGCGGCCGUGAAACGGAUUCAAAAAACGUCAAGUGGCGAAAAUAUAGUGGCCUUAUCGGUAACUAAAUAUAUUUUCGAAGAGUUUGGGUUUGAAACCGUCGGAUCGUAUGGUCUGAUAGGCGACUGGUUGACGGGUUCUCGUAGCCAAAACGCUUCGGCAAAGGGUUGGCAAGUUGGUUAGUUGGUCGACAGCGAUGGGGACGAAUUUUUUGGCGCUUUUUAGUUUAAUAAGUGGUACGGUUCCUACAAAUGUGUCCCUGGCCCUUUAGCUUGGUAAAAAUGUCAGCUUCAGAACUGCCGUAGAUAAGUUUCUUUGUCUUCCAACGUGAAUCACUUAUAAAAACUAAUAGCCAAGAAUGUCGUUCUGAUCAAAUUAUUUUAUUGUGUUCCAAUUGUUUUUAGUCUUGGUACAACGGCAUGUGUGUGUGGCAGGUGCGUUCAAGUUAAAUGAUAUCAAAUUAUUAAUUUAUUCAUAACCUGAAGAUAAUCAGCAAAAAAUGUCCCAUUUCUUAAGGAACCAAUCAAAUCUCCAUGCAAUGUUCACGUUUCUUAUUCCUUAAAAAUUGUUCAUGUUCAAAAACACACAUACAAAUAUAUUUUUUUGGAAUUUAAAAAAUCAA